Molecule: ribosomal RNA, 254 nt
Filed under: uncultured bacterium
Lineage: Bacteria
Description: partial 16S ribosomal RNA
Rfam family: Bacterial small subunit ribosomal RNA
Source: RNAcentral
UACGUAGGGUGCAGGCGUUAAUCGGAAUUACUGGGCGUAAAGCGUGCGCAGGCGGUCUGUUAAGACCGAUGUGAAAUCCCCGGGCUUAACCUGGGAACUGCAUUGGUGACUGGCAGGCUUUGAGUGUGGCAGAGGGAGGUAGAAUUCCACGUGUAGCAGUGAAAUGCGUAGAGAUGUGGAGGAAUACCGAUGGCGAAGGCAGCCUCCUGGGCCAACACUGACGCUCAUGCACGAAAGCGUGGGGAGCAAACAGG